RNAcentral lists this non-coding RNA (117 nucleotides) under Pan paniscus (pygmy chimpanzee). Lineage: Eukaryota; Metazoa; Chordata; Mammalia; Primates; Hominidae. RNAcentral also lists the same sequence under 1 other name. The record is from Rfam by way of RNAcentral.
GCUGGGUGCGGUGGUUCACACCUGUAAUCCCAGCACUUUGGGAGGCCGAGGUGGGUGGAUCACCUGAGGUCAGGAGUUCAAGAACAGCCUGGCCAACAUGGUGAAAACCCAUCUCUA